RNAcentral lists this ribosomal RNA (547 nucleotides) under Anopheles funestus (African malaria mosquito). Its description in RNAcentral is "eukaryotic large subunit ribosomal RNA". It matches the Rfam family "Eukaryotic large subunit ribosomal RNA", at positions 1457 to 1888 of the family's 3401-position model. Lineage: Eukaryota; Metazoa; Arthropoda; Insecta; Diptera; Culicidae. The record is from RNAcentral.
GUAGUAGCAAAUAUUCGAAUGAGCUCUUGGAUGACUGAAGUGGAGAAGGGUUUCGUGUCAACAGCGUUGAACACGAGUUAGCCAAUCCUAAGCCGCAUGGGAACCCUGUACACACCCCAAUACGAUGCUGGCGAAAGGGAAUCCGGUUACCAUUCCGGAGCCUGUUGAGUACCCGUUCUGCGCUGGCGUAGGCAUUCGCACCGUCGUAUGUGUUUGCUUUGCGUCGUGUGUUAGCUUCAUGGCAACAUAAAUCCUUUCUUCGAGAAGCCAACGAGGGGCAUCGGAAGAGUUUUCUUUUCUGUUUUACAGCCACCACCGACCAUGGAAGUCACUCACAGAGAGAUAUGGUUGGACGCGCUGUAGAGCACGGCCGUCGCCACUGCCGUGUCGAUGCACUCUUCUUGGACCAUGAAAAUCGAGACUGAUGAGCGAUGCGAUCACGUGGUGCAAGUCGUCCAAGCUCGCAACCUCAUCGUAUACGAUGUCUGCUGUAGCGGACGUAUGUAACCGACGUCGACUCAGGUCUCCAAGGUGUCAGAGCUCUGUC